Molecule: long non-coding RNA, 40527 nt
Filed under: Gossypium barbadense (sea-island cotton)
Lineage: Eukaryota; Viridiplantae; Streptophyta; Magnoliopsida; Malvales; Malvaceae
Description: long non-coding RNA (GBAR_LNC013862)
Source: RNAcentral
CUUAUGAGUAUAAGUCACCACCACCGCCUUCUCCUUCUCCACCACCGCCUUAUGUGUAUAAAUCUCCACCACCACCACCUAAACAUGAGGAGAAGCCUUAUGAAUACAAGUCUCCACCACCACCACCACCAAAGGAGAAGCCUUAUGAGUACAAGUCUCCACCCCCACCAUCACCUUCUCCUCCACCUCCUUAUGAGUACAAAUCUCCACCACCUCCAUCACCUUCUCCACCACCUCCUUAUGUGUAUAAGUCUCCACCACCUCCACCAAAGCAUGAGGAGAAGCCUUAUGAAUACAAGUCUCCACCACCACCACCGAAGGAGAAGCCUUAUGAAUACAAGUCUCCACCACCACCACCGAAGGAGAAGCCUUAUGAAUACAAGUCUCCACCACCACCACCGAAAGAGAAGCCUUAUGAAUACAAGUCUCCACCACCUCCAUCACCUUCUCCACCACCUCCUUAUGUGUAUAAGUCUCCUCCACCUCCACCAAAGCAUGAGGAGAAGCCUUAUGAAUACAAGUCUCCACCACCACCACCGAAGGAGAAGCCUUAUGAAUACAAGUCUCCACCACCACCACCUCCAUCUCCAUCACCACCUCCUCCAUACUACUAUAAAUCUCCACCACCUCCAUCACCAUCACCACCACCUCCAUACUACUACAAGUCCCCACCACCACCACCAAAGCAUGAAGAACAACCACCAUAUUACUACAAGUCACCUCCUCCUCCAUCUCCAUCACCACCUCCUCCAUACUACUACAAGUCCCCACCACCUCCUUCACCAUCACCACCACCUCCAUACUACUACAAGUCUCCACCACCACCAAAACACGUAGAGCAACCCCCAUACUACUACAAGUCUCCUCCACCUCCAUCACCCUCACCACCACCACCUUACUACUAUAAAUCUCCACCACCACCUUCACCAUCUCCACCACCUCCUUACUACUACAAGUCCCCACCACCUCCAUCUCCAUCACCACCUCCUCCAUACUACUACAAAUCUCCACCACCACCACCAAAGCAUGAAGAACAACCCCCAUACUACUACAAGUCUCCACCACCACCUUCACCAUCUCCUCCACCACCUUACUACUACAAAUCUCCACCACCACCCCCACAUUACGUCUCACCACCAUACUACUACAAAUCUCCACCACCACCAGUGAAGUCUCCUCCCUACUACUACCAUUCUCCUCCACCACCAACUCCUUACUACCCCCACCCCCACCCUCACCCCCACCCCCACCCACAUCCGCUCAUAGUCAGGGUGGUCGGAAAAGUUUACUGCUACAGAUGCUAUGACUCAAGCUACCCAGAGAAAUCACACGGCAAGAAACAUCUCGAAGGUAAAUUAAUUCAUACAUUAAUGCAUUUAUUAAUUGAUUUAUUUUCAAUUUCGUAUGUUUUAUUUAUUUCUUAGUUUCAAAUUUUUGUGGAACUUUGUCACGUGAUUUAGAGGUUAAAAUAAGAUGUUUAUGAAUAUUUUAAUUCAAAUAGACGUAAACAUAAUAAUUAAAGGAAUCUGAAGUUAUUCUUCUGGAAGUUUAAAAAAAAUUAAAAAAUAGAUUAUAAAAAUAAACAAAGUCUGUUUUUGUUUCUUAUAUGUUUGAAAAUAAAUUAUGACUCUAUUGUCUGUCUAUGUAAUAUUUUUAUAUAAUUUAAUAUUCAAUUCAUAAUAAUUUAAUGAUAAAAACUAUUGUUAUAAAUUACUCUAAAAUUAUAGCUUUCUUUAUUAAGGGCUGCACCAUAUAUGGAUGCACAAGUCAACAUAAGUAGUGAACACAUAAGUCAUGUCUAUGGAAAAACUGUUUUUUUUUUUUUUGAUUAAAUUAAUUCAUGGAAAGACAAAAUUAGUUAUAAAAUAGUUGAUGUCUAAAUAGAAAAAAGAUAUUUUGAUUGACUUUUUAGCAAAAAAGAAACUAAAUUUUCAAUUAUUGCACAUGGAGCAGGUGCUACUGUGGAAGUGACUUGCAAGGAGGGUGAAAAGGAAAUCACUGUCUAUGGAAAGACCAAAAACAACGGCAAAUUUGCUGUCACUGUUGAUGGGUUUGAUUAUGGCAAAUACGGAGCCAAGGCAUGCAUUGCCAAGCUUCAUGCCCCACCCAAGGGUUCAUCAUGCAACAUACCCAUGAGUGUACAUGAUGGCAUCAAGGGUGCUGUGCUCAAGGUCAAGUCAGAGGACAAUUAUGAGGUUGUGCUAAGAGCUAAGCCAUUUGGUUAUGGUUCAAAGAAACCUUACAAGAAGUGUGAAAAGUACACUCCUAAGCCUCCGACUCAUCCGUACAAGCCACCACCGUACUACUAUAAGUCUCCACCUCCUCCGGCUCCCACUUACGUUUACAAGUCACCACCUCCACCAUCACCAACUUAUGUUUACAAGUCACCUCCACCUCCUGUGUACUACUACAAGUCUCCACCACCACCAAAGCAUGUGGAACAACCUCCAUACUACUAUAAGUCUCCACCUCCACCGGCUCCCACUUAUGUUUACAAGUCACCACCUCCACCAUCGCCGACUUAUGUUUACAAGUCACCUCCACCACCUGUGUACUACUACAAAUCACCACCACCACCCACUUAUGUCUACAAGUCUCCACCACCACCAAAGCAUGUAGAGCAGCCCCCGUACUACUACAAAUCUCCUCCACCACCAUCGCCAUCUCCUCCUCCACCAUACUAUUACAAGUCCCCACCACCACCAGUUCACUCUCCACCACCACCAUACUACUACAAGUCCCCACCACCACCAAAACAUGUGGAGCAACCUCCAUACUACUACAAAUCUCCUCCUCCACCAUCGCCAUCUCCUCCACCACCAUACUACUACAAAUCCCCACCACCACCAAAACAUGUAGAGGAGCCCCCAUACUACUACAAAUCUCCUCCACCACCAUCACCAUCUCCUCCUCCACCAUACUACUACAAGUCCCCACCACCACCAAAACAUGUGGAGCAACCUCCAUACUACUACAAAUCACCCCCACCACCAUCGCCAUCUCCUCCUCCACCAUACUACUACAAGUCCCCACCACCACCGAAGCAUGUAGAGGAGCCCCCAUACUACUACAAGUCUCCCCCACCACCAUCGCCAUCUCCUCCUCCACCAUACUAUUACAAAUCUCCUCCACCACCAUCACCAUCUCCUCCUCCACCAUACUACUACAAGUCCCCACCACCACCGAAACAUGUAGAGGAGCCCCCAUACAUCUACAAAUCUCCUCCACCACCAUCGCCAUCUCCUCCUCCACCAUACUACUACAAGUCCCCACCACCCCCGAAGCAUGUAGAGGAGCCCCCAUACUACUACAAGUCUCCCCCACCACCAUCGCCAUCUCCUCCUCCACCAUACUAUUACAAAUCUCCUCCACCACCAUCGCCAUCUCCUCCUCCACCAUACUACUACAAGUCCCCACCACCACCGAAACAUGUAGAGGAGCCCCCAUACAUCUACAAAUCUCCUCCACCACCAUCGCCAUCUCCUCCACCACCAUACUAUUACAAGUCCCCACCACCACCAGCCCAUUCCCCACCACCACCAUACUACUACAAGUCUCCACCACCACCAGUCCACUCCCCACCCCCACCAUACUAUUACAAGUCUCCACCACCACCUUCUCCUUCACCACCUCCACCAUACUAUUACAAGUCCCCACCACCACCAUCACCAUCUCCUCCUCCACCAUAUUAUUACAAGUCCCCACCACCACCAGUCCACUCUCCACCACCACCAUACUAUUACAAAUCCCCUCCUCCACCAUCGCCAUCUCCUCCUCCACCAUACUACUACAAAUCCCCACCACCACCAGUCCACUCUCCACCCCCACCAUACUACUACAAAUCCCCACCACCACCAUCUCCUUCACCACCUCCACCAUACUACUACAAAUCACCCCCACCUCCAGUGAAGGCUCCAGCACCUACCUACCAUUACAACUCCCCUCCUCCACCAUCACCAUCUCCUCCUCCCCCAUACUACUACAAAUCUCCCCCACCACCAGUCCACUCUCCCCCACCACCAUACUACUACAAAUCUCCACCUCCUCCAUCUCCCUCACCACCUCCUCCAUACUACUACCACUCACCUCCCCCACCUGUGAAAUCACCUCCACCUCCAGUCUACAUCUACGCUUCUCCUCCACCACCAACACCCUACUAGAUCUAAAAAGAUCGACCACACACCGUUCAUGUAAGUAAUAUUUUAUUAAAUCAAUAGUUAAGUAUAACUUAUCAUAUAACAGUUAAUUUCAUAUUCUAACUUAUUGGCCACAUCAAAAUUUCAGGUUGUAGUUUCGCCAGCAAAAUAAAGGAAGGUGCCAAGGAGGAAGGGAGAUUUGGACAUCAAAGCAGUUCCUUUUCAAGUCCAUGGAAUAAGGGUCUAAGCAUUACAUUGGAGAGAUACAAUUUUGAUAAUUCAGGCCUACAUAUAACUUCCACUUCUUUGGUAGCCAUGUUACACAUGCUCUUUAUUUAUUGUAGUGGCAUAAGAAGGAAGUGAGUGUUUUUUCUAUUUUAAUUAUUGGGUUUUCACUUUAAUUUAUUCGUGUAUAGAAAUGUGGCCUUCCGUAUGAUUGAUGAAGCUUUUUCUAUUUAUUGUGGGCAUGCAUUUGCUAUUUGGUGGAUAAUUUGAUGUACUAUGUGCACUAUUAGCAAUAAAAGAAUCUAUUUGUUCCAAUGUCAAUGCUUUGCAACAACACCUUUUUUCUAAUCAUUUCGACCAAUUCCAGCUGUAUAACGAAAAUUUUUUAAUAAAAAAUUUAUUAACCCUUAAUUAAAUAAAUUUUUUUCAAGCAAAUUAAGAGAAAAUUGGGACUUUUUUUGGUAAAUAAAAUAGUAAAGCUUUAAGCUAGGAUUAUAGUAGAAUUAAUAGCCAUCAAACAUUGAAUAUGUAGCACAAUGGAUAUCAUCAUCUAAUAAACUCCUCACAUUUUUCGAUGAUUUCUCAUGAAUAAUCAAGUGAUCCAUUUCGCCUCGAACCUCUUUUACAAUACAAUUUGUCAUCCUAUUACUCUCUCAGUAUCUGCCGAAAUUUUUCCACAUAAAAAAAAUCAAAUCAAUAUUAUUCCAAUUGAAUUUUCAAUCAUUACCAAAUCUUUUGUUUUUAGAUUAUAAUUAUUCCAAGAUUUGAAAAAUGUUACAAAAAGCAAUUAAUUGAUUAAUUAAUUAAUAAUGCAUUCCUUUUAAGUUUUAACUUCUUAUAUAGGGUUAGGGAUGGUGUGUUGGAUAUGAUUUCCAUUAUAAUAAUUGUUCACCUAUAGGCUAUAAGAAUAUUUGAGGCAUAUACUAUUUUUUUAACCCCCUAGAUUUGAAAAAUUAUUAUACAACAUAACAAUUUAUAAGCAUAAUUAAAACACAACACAAGUAAAAUUCAGUAUGUUGGCCUAAUGAUUAAGGUGUUCAUCGUCUUUAAUGGGGUCUGGGUUUGAGUCAUGUUAAUUGUGUUGUUGUUAAAACUUUACUCUCUUAUUAUAAAUUACAAAAAAAAAUACAAUACAAAUAUAAUAUAAAGUAUUUUAAAUACAAUUAUAAUAGGAAAAAACAUAUGAAUACAACUAAAUAAGUACAUAAUGCAUUAUGUAACUAGCAUUAAAUAAUGAACCAGAAGUAAGUUUUGUUGGAAGGGGGUUGGUGCAAUGCACCUUCUAAAAGAUUCUUUUAUUUAUUUAUUUGGGUAUAAUUUUGAAUAGUAUUUGGAUCAAAAGUAAAGAGCUGGAUCUCAUUUAAAUAAAAUUUCGAGUUUGAAUUUUGUAGUUGUAUAAAAUAAUAUUAGGAGGAUUUCUCCAAGAGUUUGAUCCAACCAAGUGUACUUUAGAUGGAAAUUUUAUUUUUAAUCUCUUUAAAAGUUGUAAAUUAAUAUGUUAAUAUAUGAUAAAAUUAUAUUUUGAUCCCAAGAAUAAAAAAAAUUGAUUAAAUCUUUUUAAAAACUAUAAAGUUAUAAAGCCAAUAUAAUGAUAAAAUUAUAUUUUAACUCUCAUAAAAUUUACAAUUCAAUUUUUAUCCCUAAAAAAAAAACUUUCUGGCUUCACCUCUGUAUUCAACUCGACUCCAAACUUAGUUGGAGCCCAAUGUGUAGGACUAGGAGUGUUAAUGAGACACUAGUGCUCGCAAUUUAUUCAAGUUUGAUUUGAAAAAAAAGAAAAACAAAACAUGAAUUUCGAUUUCGUAAUUAUCAAGUCAAGGCUCGAACUAUCAAUCGAGCUGAAUUUGAGCACCAUAAUACUCGAUUUGAAUAGCUUGCUAGCCUAAUUGGACUUUUCGUUUUAAUAUCUUUUUACUAUUUUGAAAUUACAUUUGUACUCUUAUUAUAUGAAAAGAGCUUAAGUACAAACGAGUUUAAUCAAGCUCGAAUUUGAAUUUGAGUAUACAAAUUGAUAAAUAAACUUAAUCAAACUCGAACUUAAGUAAGCUAAUUAAAUCCCGAUUAAAUUUGAGCUUAAACUGAAUAUCAAACCUUACCAGUUGAGUCUGGGUAGGAUUGAUUACAACCCUACAUACCAAGUCUAAAAAAAUUUAAAAGAAUUAAACUAAUUAAAUAUAAGUGAACUGGCAAAAGUGAAGCAGGUAAAAACAGCUAGAUGCCAAUUCAUUUGUCAUAAUCAUCAUCACCAUGGGUUGUCAAUAAUUUGUCGUGGAAGAAUUAAGAAAAUUGACAAGUCAAAAAAGUUGAGAGAUAAAAAUUUUUUUAAUUAAAGUGGCAGCCCCUCCCCCACAUGCAAAACAUAUUCCUUUUUCCCUUUUUUUGUGGUUGAAGGGUUUAGAAGAGAUUAUAAGUAUUUUUUUAUCAAAUAAAUUUGUUAUAGGUUCUAAUCAUGUAUGUUUUUCUUUUGCAGAAUGUCUAGAACUAUCUAUAGUCCCUCCCUAACCCAUAAAUAGGAGGAUAAUACGUUUUAGCAUACUUAAACUCACGUUCUCCUAUAUUGACAACAAUAUCCAUGCCAAUUGAGCUAAAGACUCAAUCGACAAAUUAUGAGUUCUAAACAUUAUAUAAAAAAUCACACACAAUGAAAUUAUAAAUUAAAUAAAUAAAAAUAAAAUCUUUUUAUUUAAACUCAAUUUAUAUAUGAUCUUUUAAGUGUUCAACUUGUUUUUUUUUGGUGAAUGACCUUGGCAAUUUAUCUUUUUAAGUCUAUAUAAUUUUAAUGUCACAUGUGUUGUACGUAAUUCUACGUAAUUAUUUUUUAAUUUAUUAAAUAAUGUAAUUUUGUUUGAUGUAAUUAAUAUAAAAUAAUUUAAUUUAAAAUAGUAGUAAUAAAAGUUAAAUGAAAAAUGAAAAAUAAAAUUGAAUGGAAUACUUAAAUAUUGAAUGUUGAUAAAUUUAGUAAUUAUAAUGAAAUGUUAUAGAAAAAAAAUUAAUUGCUUAUAUAUUUAAUAUCAAUACAAAAAUUACAAAUUGAGAGAAAAAUGCCAUUCUCAGUACUUGAAGCUAGAUCUUAAGAUACUAACAUAAAUCUUACUAACAUAAAUCUUCAACCACUUAAUUUGAGGGAGUGUCCAACUUGUAUUUCUUUAGUGUCCUACUUUUAUAUAUAUAUAAAAUAUACGGAAGAAUUCAUUUAUAUCGAUAUAAAAUUUAAGUGGUUUUAUAUUUUUUCGUAAUUUUUUAUAUGACUAAUAUUUUAACAAUUUAACAAUUAUAUUUUAUGGUCCAUUCAUAUAAAUUAUGCAUGUCAACUUUGGUAUAAAAUAAAAUUUUUUAACUAUUCGUUUUAUGUAAAAAAAAUCAACUGUUAAGUUGGAUGUCAGGCCAUCUUUUCUAUGUUUGGUUUUAAUAUGUUUGGUUGUAAUGGUAACACUUUACAACCUAAUUAUUAAAUAAAUUAUGAUUUUGCUAAGAAAGAAAAGGUAAAAAAAAUCAACCAUUAAAUAUAUUAAUAGAGAUCGAUAUGAUAGAGAUAUCGUAUUGAUUAAAAAUUUUAAUGUACGACAAAUAUAGCCAUAUUGAUAAAUUCAACGGUUGAAUUGUUGAAAUACUACUCGUACAAAAAAUUAUAAAAUAAUGAAAAAUUAUUCAAAUUUUAUAUUGGUAUAAAUAGAUCCUUCCCAUAUAAUAUAUAUAUAUAUAUAAAAGGAGUGUACAACUUGUUUUUCUUAGAAAAUGGCCCCUACCUUUGCCAAAAUAGCCUCCUUUAUAAUUAUCCCUCAUGAGGUUUUCAAUUUUCAAUUUUAUAAUAGGUAUUAAUCUUGACUUAGAACAUUUUAACAAAUGUUUUUCUAGUUGAUUAUUUAAAUUUUGUUCUUAGAAAAUAUAAUGUGGAUAAAAGAAAUCUUCAUUUCCUUUUUAUCUAGUUUAUUAUUUUAUAUUGGUUUAAGUACCCAAUUAACCUAUCGUUAUUGGGAUAACGAUAAAUUUAGUUAUUAAUGUUUAUUUAUUAUCACUUUGGUUUUAAGUUUUUUUAUUACUUUGGUCUUCAAAUUUCAAAUUUUAGUUGAAUUAUUUUUUUUAUAAAAAAUUGACUAAACAAUUAAAAUUUUAAUGGCACUGGUGACAGCUCGUGCAACAGUUCAUGUGUACUUCAUAAAAAUUUUAAAAUAUAUAUUUAAUUAAAAAAAUAAAUUUCAAAAAAGUUCUUAAAACUUUUAGAAAAUGUAUCCAUAUUAGCAAUGUAGUACACAUAGACUGCCAUGCGAAUUGUUUGCUAGCGUCGUUAGAAUUUUAACAGUUUAUUCAAAUUUUCCUUCAAAAAGAAAACCAAAUUGACUAAAAUAUGAAGGUUGAGGGGCGAAGUGAUUGAAAAACUAGAGUUAAAGUGACAAAAUGAGUAAACAUUAAGAGUUAAAUUUAUCAUUAUGCUUAUUUCUAAAUUCAAUAUCUCUUUAUUUAUUGUCAACUAAAUUAUAAGUUCAAUACUAAAUUAUAUUUGUUUUCCCACUUUGGUAUUUAAAACUUUUGUUGACACUUUGGUACUUGAACUAUCAUUUUGUCUUAGUUUAUUUUAAAAAGUAUCGGUGGAUUGAAAAAAGUUCAAAGGUUAAAUUGUAAGUUAAGCCAUUUUCUUUUGAUAUAUUGCCUAUAACUAUCAAUAAUCUCUUCUCAACCUUAAAUAGGAGAAUAAAGGGAAUAUUGAUAUUCAAUUGGUAGUUAAUUUUUUUUGAAUAAUCUCAUUGUAAAUUUUGAUCAUAUUAGCUGUUUUUGAUGCAAUACCUAGAACUACCUAUAGUCCCUCUCCAACCCAUAAAUAGGAGGAUAAUGCGUUUCCGCGCACUUGAACCUAGGUCCUCCUAUAUUGACAACAAUGUCUAUAUCAAUCGAGCUAAAACUCAAUCAACUAGUUAAAUCAUUUUCUUUUAUAAGAAUAAAAAUGUCUAAAAAUCAAAUCAAUAUCGAUAUCAACCAAAAUUUAAAUACAAAUUCUCACCCAUUAUUCAUUCCUACCCAACCCUAAACAAAAGAUAAAGAUACUGAAAUCGUGAUUGAAGCAUGAACACUUAUACCCACCAUAGUCAACCAGCUACCAGUACAACAAAUUGUCUCCUAAAAGAACAAAUCCUUUGAUGGCUUUCUAAAAUCAUGUAAUUUGUCCAUUAUAAGUAUAUACUCAUUAUUACAACGUACAAGGAAAUAAUUAAUACUGGAUAAGAAUUUUUGUAGGACAUCCUUAAUUUUUUUUGUUUUGUUUUUUUGACUAAAAGUGGGAUCAUUUCAGCAGCCAGAACAGUACCAUCUUUUAUUUGAAAUUUUCCGCAUCCGAUAUAUAAAUCAAUAAUAAAGCCAAAAGUUUUGGAAGAAAUUAAAAAUAAAAUAAAAUUCAAACUUUCUUUUUAGCCAAAGUGGACAUGCUUUUUGGAUAGGCAAUCAUGAAAUAGCCAUGCUUUUUUUUAAGAAAAAAAAGUUAGUCAAGGUAAUGGAUUGAAUUUUAGUUUGAUUGAUAUAUGUAUUGUUGUCAAUAUAGGAGGACAUAGAUUUAAGUGUGCUGAAGCGCACUAUCCUCCUAUUUAUAGGUUGGAGAGGGGCUAUAAGUAGUUCUAAAUAUUAUGUCAAAAAGAGCAAAUAUGAUCUGAACUUAUAAUGAGAUUAUUUAUGAUGUAUUUGGCAAUAGCAUAAAAAUUGAAUAUUAAUAUAAAAUAAUAUGUAAUUAAUAUUUUAAUUAGGUAAUGAUUCACCAUUUACUGCACUAUUGAGAUUUCAUGUUGUUUUCACUUGGCUCUUGUAAUUGAUUGGGGUGUGAUGAAUAUGUUGUCUUAAAAAGCAACAUAAUUGUGUUCGUAAUAAUUUUAGCAGUACUCCACUUGCUAAUGCCUCUUCCAUUCGAGGUUGUGCAAGUUUUGGCACUCGUAAUUGAUGGUUAUGAUAAUAUUUUCAAAAAAAAUAUUCAUGUUUCAUACAUAUUUCGGAUACGAGUAUGAAAUAUAGAUUUUUGUUUAUUUGGAGAUAUUUGAUAAAUUUUAAAAUACAAUCUUUCAAAUAAAUUUUAAAUAUUUAGAAAUAUUCAAAUAUAAAUAUGUUGAUGGUACCACCCAAGUUAUCCAACAAUGUCAUAUAAGUGUAUAGCUUUAAGUCUUAUUAAGAGUAAAUAUUAAAAUUUUUGUAGUGGGUUACUCUGUGAAUCGGUCAUCUCUUUAGACUUUUAGUAAAGUUAGAAGACAAAAACUCAAAGAUAAAAACAAGCAUAGUUAUCCAAGUCCAACAUUGAGUUUGUUGAAAGAGUCCGUCAACCUUAAGUCAUAAUUCCUUGAACAAAACAUAUUCGCAUUUCCCAUAUUCAAUACUCAUCUCAAUAAGAUAAAUAGUUGAUGCAUGAAGGCAUCUAUAACUGUUUAUAUUCAACCUAAUAAACUCUUAAUUUUUCAAAUAUAUGUGAAUAGAGUUAUCAAUUGGAUGGGUGGUUAAUUUUGAGUUAGUUCAAUUUGGGUUAGAUUAAUUUAAGUUUUAAAAUUUUGGGGUCAUUGCAAGUUGGGUCAUUUCAAGUUCCGAUUCUUUCAAAUUUGAAUUGUUUUGGAUUUAGGGUGAUUUUAGAUUAAUUAAGAUCUUUUUGGGUUUGAGAGAUUUCAAGUUCGGAUGAGUGAAUUCAAUCAAAUUAAGUCAGACUUAAAUUCAAGUUAAUCGGAUUGAUUUUUCAAACUUGACCAAAAUUGUCAGAUCUAUAUUCGAGACACAUAUAUAUUCAAACUUGAGUAUGCAAUAUAAUUCAAAUAUAUAAAGAUAUCAAGCAUGCCCACAUCAUGCUCGUAACCAUAUCCAAACCCUCACAUUAGGGAGACAAAACAACAACGUGUUGACGCUUACAUUUUUCCAAACACACCAUGAAAUGCAGAUCAGAGUAGAGAUUUAAGCUGAGAUUUUGGACAUAUUUUCAAUCACGUUAUAAUAUUUAUAAUAAAAAGAGCCAAAAACGUAAAAUAGCAAUUUUGAAAUUUACUUUUUUUUUUCCUGAAUCAAUUGAAUUAAACUUCGAGUUAGCUGAUUGAUUCCAAAAUCUAGAAAAGUGCAUGUUUCAUUUUUGAAAUUAAUUUUUCUUUUGGAAAGCAAACAAAAGAAAAGAAAAAGAGACCUUACGAGCUUUGGCCUUUUCAUAUUUUUACGUAACCAAAAUGGUGAUGGAUUUCACCUUUUUUUGUUUCUCAUCUGCUUUUUAAAUUUUGAUCAAUCCCUAUCAUGAAAACAGACUACAAACUCAAUUUUUUCCCUAUUUUGUUUUAGAAGGAAAAUUUUCGUAAAAAGAUAAAUGAAAUUGCCUAAAAUUGUACUUUAAAAAAUUAAUUUAGGUACAACAUUCGAAGAUUCCAGUUCUACUUUGGUAAAAAAAAUUUACCAGCUCUUGACAUUUAUAUAGGUACGAAGAUUAUAACAUAUUCCUAGAGAAAAAAAAGAAGUUGCAAAUGGCCUUGUCAAGAUAGUUCAAGACAUGAAAAUAAGAUUAAGAUUAUUUAAGGAUUCCGUAAAAGGGAUUAGUUUAAUUUCUUAUAUUUUGGGUCGCUUUUUCUAUAAAAAUAUUAACUUGGGCCAUAGUUGGGAAAUAAAUAUGUUGAUGAUAAUGGGUCGAGUUCGUGGGAUUUAAUGGUCCAACUAUGCUAUCGUCAUACUUGCCGGCCUAAGUGCAAUACAGCAUAAGUUAAGGCCUAAGUUGAAGCCUUUCUAUAUUAUUUUUUUAAACUAUGUUUAAUCAUUUAAAUAGUCAAUUUCAUAUCGAUAUCGCUCGCACAAGUCGAAAUGUUUUAUUCAAUAGUAAACUAAAAUAAAAAAAAAGUUAGUAUUUGAUAUAUUGAUAGUGUACUUUUAUUAUUUUACAAGUAGAUUUAAAAAUUAUCUCGUAUCUCUUCUUUUUUUCAAAUAUUUUACUAUGUCCCUUUAAGAUAUUUAUCAACCCAUUGACUCUCUUUAUAGAGUUUAAAAACUCCUUUAAAAAUAAGUAAUGAUGGUGCCGGUGCGACAUGGAAAAGUAAUUUUAAAAAUAUUUUUUAAAAUUAGGAAAAGCUUGGCCUUUUCAUAAUUUUACGUAGCCAAAUUUGUGAUUGAUUUAACUUUUUUUUCCCUUAUCUUUCUUUACUUUGCUAGCAUUACUUGCCUGCUUUUGAGUUUUGAUCAAUCCCUAUUAUGAUACAUACCACAAAGUCAAAUAAUUUUCCUAUUUUCUUUUAGAAAGAAUAAAAGGUGGCUAAUUGAGUCUAAAUUCGAUUUAAAUAAUAAUUAUUAUCAGUGUAGGAUGAUAUAGGUUUGAGUGUGCUAAAGCUUAUUAUACCUCCUAUUUAAGAGUUGGGGAGAGACUAUGGGUAGUUUUAGGCAUUGUAUCAAAAGGAGUUGAUAUUAAUGUUAAAAUAAUAAUAAUAAUAAUAAUAAAAGGUGAAUAACAUUGAGUAAAAUUUGCAUUAAGGAAAAAAAAACAUUUGGGCCAUAAUUGGGAAAUAAAGAUAUUCAUAAUAAUGGGUCGAAUAUGUGGGAUUUAGAUGGGUCCAACUAUGGUAUCAUCAUACUUGAUAGCCUAAGUUCAAGCCUCCCAUAUUAUAGAUGUGUUAAAUUAUGAAAGUAAAAAUUUAAAGGUUAAAUUAUGUUCUAAAUCCCUAUACACUUUAAACAUUUAGUCCUUUUACUUUUUGAAUUUAAAAGUUUUGUUGGAAUUGUGUUCUUACGAAAAAUUGGUGUUAGCAUUUUGAUUGAAACAGUCAGCAUUAUUAAUUAUUUAAAUUAACUAAUGACAUUAUAAAAGUAGAAUGAUUAAAUUAUGUCAAAAUUUAAAAUAUAUAAAGUAAAUCUCAAGUUUCAACAUAGUAUAGGGACUAAGAUUGAAACUACUGUUUAGCAUUUAAAUAAUACAAAUCCAAAUUAUGUUAUCCUCUUUUCACUUCCAUAUAUUAUAAUGAUAAAAAAAUACUAAAAAUAUAUUAAGUAAUCCAUGUUUCGGAAUUUUCAAAUCAAGUCAAAUUUAAACAAAUAUAGAAAAUUGAAUAUUUGAAAAAUUAUUUGAUGUAGUGUUAAUAGAGGUAACACAUAUCUCAUUUAAAGGCAGUAAAAAAAAUAAAUCAACAUAUUCUUUGACAGGGAUUUGUUGGAGUAAGUUUAGUAAUUAAUUCUCUGCAUUUUGUAGGCCCAUUAAAAGGAUAAAUAUUGGUCACGAGUUAACGGAGAAAGUAUAUUGACCAUUAAUAAUAUAAUAUGCUUUAUUUUAUUUUAUUUUAUUUUAUUAUGCUUAUAAUAAGAAGGUGAUAGGAAAUAGACUUGUAACCGAACCUUCUACCUACUAGUCUUUCGUCUAUAGCUUUUAACUUUUUCUCAUUCAACUUAGUCCUGCAUAAUAAGUCAAAUACCCAACCUAGUCGAAAUUAUAAACUCUCCAAAAAGGAUUAAUUGCAUAGACGCCCUGAAAUUAUGAUCCAGAUUUGACAUGGUCUUCAAACUUCAAAACUUCUAAUUGAGUUGUUGAAGUAUUAAUUAGGUCCUUCCAUCAUACUAAUCAUUAGGUUGGAAGUUAAACGCCAACUCAAAUUUGACGUGGAACAUAUUUAAAAGACCUGGAUCAAAUUAUAAAUACAUGUUCCUAUUAUAUUGACAAUUUUGGAUUUGACGUGUUUUUGUUUUAAAUAGUUCUCCUAAAUUAUAUUGAUAUUAGAUGUGUUCAAAUUUCGGUUAAAACCGAAUUAAUCGACUAAAUAGAUAUAAUUCGGUUAAUCAGUCGGUUAACCAAUCUAAUUCGGUCGGAGAUCGGUUAAUGAUUUUUUAAAAGUUCAGUUAUCGGUUAAUUCGAUUCAAAAUCGGGUAAUUAACUGAACUUAAUAAUUAAUUAUACAAUUUAUAUGUAGUCUUAAUUCGGUUAAUUUGGUCAAAUGAACAUUAUCAAUUUAUUUAUUUUUUUGAUAUGUUUUGUACUUGUUUUAACAAAAAAAAAUAUAAAUUUCGGUUAAUUCAGUUAACCAACCGAAUUAAUCGAAAUAUUUCGAUUCGACUAAGUUUUUUUGAAAAAAUUUUGGUUCAGUUAACAGUUAAAGGAUUAAAAAGUUUGGUUAACACUAGUUCGGUUCGAUUAACCGUUCGGUUAACCGUUUGAACACCCUUAAUUGAUAUUGCCUUUUUUUCUAACAUGUUAGAUCCAAGUUAUUGAUAUGAUAAGUACACAUGUAUUUACAGUUUGAUUCAUGUAUUUUAGAUACGUUGCAUGUCAAAUUCAAACUAAUAGUUAAUGCUUAAGUUGACAACAAUUUAUAUACGUUUCUACAAUUAAUCUCUCUAGAAAUAAUAAAAGUAAAAUAAAAAAAUAAUUUUAAAAAACAAAAUGAGUUUUCAUUAAUUUAUUUGAAAAAUCACAAACUUUCAUUAUCUUUUCUAUUUGUCCCUUACAUAUUGAAAUUUGAGAAGAAGCCAAUACUAAGAUAAGAUGGUCAAAUAUCCAUUUAGAUUUAAACUAGCUAGUAAUGAGUUUCUAGAGGAAAUGAGACUUUUAGUCCCUAAACAAUGCUCUAAUAAUUCUUCUUUGCCUACCUAAAAUUCAACCAUUUAUUCUCAAUAAUGAGCAUUCAAAGAACUUCUAGAGAAGACAAAAGUAUUAAUUAAUUCCUUUACAAAUUUAUAAACCGAGUUAUUCGUUUAAGUCUGAAAGCUUGUUCGAAAUAUACAAGAAUAUAGACAAAAGUAUAAUAUUCGAAGAAUGGGUUUGAGCAAAAAAAAAAAAAAUUAAGCUUGAUUAGAAUAUGAGUCAAGUUUGAACUUUAAUAGUCAAUGCGUUUUAUACUUUUGUAAUACAUUUAUUUAUUUGUAUAUAUUAUGUAAAAUUAUAUCACAUGAAUUAAAUAUAUAACAAUUUAGUAACUUGUAGACUUUAAAAAUUAUGUUAAAUUUAAUAAAAAAGCCAUCUAAAAUAUUAAAUUAAAAAUAAUAUAGGUGAGCCUAAAAUGAGUCCAAAAUUUAAACUUAUAUUUUAGAUUGAAUCAAUACUACAUAUAAGUUCAACUCGAACUCGGUCCAUGAACAUUUAUAAACAUCUAUAAUGAUUUGCUAAUCCAGAUUUUAUUUUACCAUACCAUGAAUAUUGAAGAAUUUAAGGAUUUAGAACAGAUAGUACCAAGACUUGGCCUUGGCAUCUAUGGUCAACACUAAAAAAAUGGUUGAAUGGUACAUAAGAAGUAGUGAUAAAAGUUGAAUUAAAUGGUAGAUAAAGGAUUAAUUAAAUUAUUAAUAACACUGAUUAAAACAUUUACGGUUCGAAUUAUUCAUGCAAGAUUGAUAAAUUUAAUUUCAUCAUGCUAAAUUUUGAAUAAAAUAUUUUUCAAUUUAAACUGACCGACUCUAGUCCAAAUUAAUAAUAAUUUUUAAAAUGAAUUCAUAAUUUCUAAAAUUUUCAAUGAUUGUCUAUGAAAUAAUAAUUAUAUUCUUUUAUGUAAUUCAUCAGUAAAAUUCAAACUGGUCCUUAAAUUAUCAUCUUAAAUCAUUUCUUUCAAUUAUAUUUUAAUAAGAUAGAAUUCUGUAUAGAUAAUGAUUUUAAUAUAAUUGAAUUUCACUUGCACUAAAAUAAUUAUUUACUCAGAUAAAUAUUUUUUAUUCAUUUAAAAAAAUUGAAAUUUAUUUAUUAAUUUUCAAUUAUAAUCAUAGUAAGUAUUUUUUAUAUAUGUAAUUAUAUUAAAAUAAAUAGAAGUAAUUACUAAAUUAUUCAAAAAUUAGAAUAAUUAAAUUUAAUUAACUAAAAAUUUAAUUUUAGGUGGAUUAAUGAUGAUUGUGGGUGGAAAAAAAAGAGAUUAAAGUAAUAAAAAAAAAUUAGCUGGUGGGAGGGUAAAGGCAUAUAUUCCUCAAAAGCAUCUGCCCACUAUUAUUACAACUAUAAAGCUUUGCAUUAUGAGAUUCUUUUUUUUAAAGCAAUAAAAUAAAAUAGUAAAAAUACUAAAAUUAAUUUAAAAAAUAAAUAAAAAAUAAAUACCCUUUAGUAAGUUGAGCUGUCUCUUUUUUUAUGUGAGGAAAUUACAAAAAUGGGGUCUAUUAAGAAUUUUUUAUUAAUUGAUACACGAGGGAAAUUUUUUUUUUGGAAAGAAAAUAGUAAAAUUAAAUAGAAAAAAGAAGAGCUGAAUUUUUUAUUUUGAUUUUAAAAAAAUCAGAUUCAAAUUUAAUAUGAAAUCUUAAAAUUCUUAGAUACAAUAUAAAUAAACAAAUUAUUACAUCUAUUUGCCCAAAUUCAGACAUGUAAAGGUGCUUUUAAAUACUCUUGAGUUUAUAAAAAAAUAGAAAAAAAUAUUCAUAGAAUUAAAAUAAUAAAUUAUAUUAAUCGUUAUUAAUUCGACCAAAAUCGAGUUGAUGUGAAUUGUUAAUUAUAUUAAUCAGAUUAGUAUGGGUAUUGUUAUUAAUGUAGUAGGACGUGGGUUUGAGUGCGCUGAAACGCAUUAUUCUCCUAUUUAUUGGUUGAUGACGGGCUAUGGAUAAUUUAGGUAUUAUCCCAGAAAGAGCAGAUAUAAUCACAACCUUUACAUAAGGUCCAAGUUGUUGAUAUAGUAAGUAUAUAAGUAUUUACAAUUUGAUCCCCUUAUUUUAUAUAUGCUAUGCAAUAGAUUUAAGCUAAUAUUUAUUGCCCGAAUUGACAACUAAACCAAUCUAAGGACAUGAUCGAUAUAAUACUAAUAUUUUGAGAACUCAAUGAAUACAUAUCAAAUCCAAGUUGUCACAUAGCGGGAAUAUAAAUGUUUACAAUUGGAUCCAUUUGUUUUAAGUAUGCUCCUAAACAGAUUUGAGUUGACAUUUAUUCCCCGAACUAACAAUUAAACCAAUACAGGGACAUGAUCAAUACAAUACUAAUACUUCAAAAAUUCAAUUAAAAUAUUUGAAAUUUAGGGACCAUAUUAAAAUCCAAACAUAAUUUAAAGACGUGUAAUGCAAUUAACCCAAAGAAAUAAAAAUGAUAAUGUGAAUUAUUGAAAACAAGGGUAGUUUUGAACUUUUCCAAUGACUACAUUUCAUUUUCCUUUCACAACAGCUUAUUGUGAAUAAUGAAUUCGUCGUAUAUUUUCCAUUGAAAAUUCCCAUUUUCUUUUCCACUUCAAUUUUUUUCCCUCCCUAUAACAGCGACGAUCGAUUUUUAUUAAUUUUCUUUGCCGUCGGAUCUUUGGUUUUCCAUUUUGAUUCAAUCAGGUUAAGAUUUUUCUUUGAAAUUUUUUGAUUUUUUUUCCGUUUUCUCUUUCACUCUCAUUUAGAUCUGAUUUUUUUUUUGAAUUUGGAGUUUCGUUUGGAUUUCUCAUUUUAUAGAUCUAUUUUUCAUGUAUCUAAAUUCAGCUGAAUUUGAUCUCAUUUUGAUUGAUUUUUCCUGUUUUUUUUUUGAAUUCGUAAUUGUUAAAACUUCCUCGAAGAUUCUUAAUUAUAAGAUUUGAAGAUCUAGGGAUCUGUUAGAAAUAUUGGUCAAAAUCGUGAUAUCUAUCACAAAUGUCAUUAUAUUUCCUGUAAUUGAUCUUCAAUUUUUCCCUCUUUGAGUUCUUUGACUUUCCUUUGUAAUGUUUUCGAACUUAUAUGUUCAGUUGGAUUUAAUUAUAUUACUUUGUAUGCCUGAAAUUGGUUCAAGAUCUAAGCUUUUCCUUUUUUUUUCCCCCUAUUUCUUUAAUGUGACAGGAUUGCUUCGUUUUGAACCCAGGCGACGAUGAAGAAGGCUAUCGGUCAAACUGUUAGAGAGCUGUAAGUGUAUUGCUAGAUUCUAAUUCCCUUAUAUGAUAGCGUUGUUGAAUUUGUUUCAAAUAUUUUAUAGUUCAAAGCAAUAUUUUGGUACUAAAUUAUCUAUGAAAGAUGAUUAUUGGAAGUUUAGUCUCUUUUGAAUUAAUUUGUUUUAUUCCUGCUUAUCAGUAUCUGCUAUAAGCCUAUAACCAGUGGCUAAAUGUUUUAUUUUUCUUAUGUUUUUGCAGUAAGAGAGAGGUUAAUAAGAAAGUUCUCAAAGUUCCUGGAAUAGAGCAGAAGGUAAGACUACUCUAGAAAGUUAACGGUCCAUUUAAGUACUUAAAAGGUGAUUGUUGCAUAAUUGUAAGUAUUGAUGAUUGGUAGGCAAGGGGAUUUAAUAAACUAUCUAGAUACUGUUUUGAUCGAUAUCAUAUUUAAAAUAUGAAACUAUGAAUGUGAUUCUAACUCUGAUACCAACUCUAGUAAUGGGUCAAUAGAAACUGGAGAGAAGUAAACGUGAGAUUCUACUACUUAGGUUUGAGAUUGAGAACUUGUUUAAAAUUAAUGAAUUCUUGGAUUAGUAACCUGAGUGGUAUUUAUUUUAUGAUGGUUAGUUUCCUACUAGUCAAAGGCUUACGUAUGCCGCCUUUUAACCAAGUACUAUAAGGAAUGGGGACAUAAUAGUAAAAAGUACAAAUGGCUGAUUUGGUUUGGGAGAAGAGUUUGCUGAUCUAUGUUGUUGACAUUCAGCGGCUGCCUGUUGCAGGCUAGUUUGAUGUUUGUUUGAAUGUUUUGGAGCACUUAAUGGAAGGUUUAUCAAUGGACUUAUUCUUACAUUUGCUAAAGGAUCUUUAUUUUUCAUAUAAAUGUCUUAUUAAGUUUGGUUAGGUACAUAUGAUGCUCUGGCUGAGCUGAAUCUUGAUAGAAUUUAUUAGUUCCAAACUAUUUUUUCAAUACUUCUUUUUUGUCCUUUUGGCAAGGAGGGAAUUGUCAUUCAAAGUUGUUAGCUUUAAUAAAUAUAGUAUUCUUUCACAACAGAAGUCUCUAUGCGGCUAAGCAAUAACAUUACUUGUAAUACUAUUGAAAUUUAAUUUAUCCGCUUGAAAUAAUUUUUUUUUUUCAUUUUGUCUUUCAGGUUCUUGAUGCUACCAGUAAUGAGCCAUGGGGUCCUCAUGGAUCACUUCUUGCAGAUAUUGCAAUGGCUACAAGAAACUAGUAAGCUUGAGAGAAGUUAUGUAUGAUUUUCAUUCCAUAUAUGUUACUUGGAAAUUCAUUCCUAUAAAUAUUCAUGCAGUCAUGAGUAUCAGAUGAUCAUGACAGUGAUCUGGAAACGUCUAAGUGACACUGGAAAGAAUUGGCGUCAUGUCUACAAGGUCAGCAAAGAUUAGUUGCAUUCAUCAUCAGUUUAUUUCCUCUGCAACAUGUAAAAAGUAUCAUACAGGAAUCUCAUGUAAUUGUUAGCAUUUUAUCUUUUUAACUAAAUCUCCGUCUUCAAUUUUGCAACAAUCAUUGUGUUCUAACACAUAUUUUGUGUACUGUAUUCUCUUUUCUUUUUUGGUAUGUAUUUUACGUUUCUUCAAUGUACCAAUGUACUAAGGUAUUUGCUUUAUUGAGCUUCAGGCUCUGACUGUUCUGGAGUACCUUGUUGGUCAUGGAUCGGAGCGUGUCAUAGAUGACAUAAGAGAACAUGCUUAUCAAAUAUCGGUAAUUUCUGUUUCUUGAUUCUGUAUGACAACUUUGCAUGCAGUGUUUAUGAUACAAUCUGCAGCUUACUUUUUUUAAAUGUUUUGGUCUGAUUAAAUAAUUCUUCCAUGUUACAGGCUUUGUCCAAUUUUCAGUACAUUGAUUCCAGUGGAAGGGACCAAGGUAACAAUGUCCGAAAGAAAUCUCAGAGCCUUGUGGCCCUAGUUAAUGAUAAAGAAAGAAUAAUUGAAGUAAGACAAAAGGCUGCAGCUAACAGGGACAAGUGAGUCAGCAACAUGCCUUUUUGCUUUAAUUUUGUUGCUGAGUUCAACCAUCCUCCUGAAUAAGUGUUUUUACACUGGCAUUGACAAAUAUUGCCGGUUAUUUUUGUUCUAUGCUGCUUUUAACAUCACAUUCACAAGCAUGCUGACUUUCAACAUAAUAUUUACUUGUGUGUUGUCAACAUGAAAGUACAUCUGUGCAAGAGCAUUCAUACUUUCAACGUGGCAAGUACAUGUUUCAUGAGCAUGCACAUAUACAGAUGCACUUUCUCUCUGUUAGGAAAAUUCAUGUGUUAUGUGGUAUCUGUUGUUCACAUAGCAGUUGAGAGACACACACGUAUGCUGUAUGUGAGUUUCAGUUGGACGCAUCAUUAAUAUGUCCACAGAAAAUUGAUUUGAGAUUUUGAUUAAAGUGGUUUUCUCUCCUAAUGGGCAGCUGUAUUUUCACUUUCUUGCCAUUAAUUGUUGGAUAUUUCUUGUUCAUCUGUUCACGGUGGACAUCCAUAUAUUUUGUUCUUUCUUGAGUGAUAGACACAAUCCUUUUAGAAUAUUAAUGCUGAACUGGAACUCAAAUAGAAAAAGGUUUAUACUUAAUCUAAUCUCAUUUCUAUUUGAGUUCCAUUUUUGUAAGUUCUGAUAACAUUUCUUGCUCGUGAUCAGUGGGAUCCGUGUGAUUUGCUUUUAUUCUUCUUUGUUAAAUAUUUUGCUUUGGAGUUGCAUUCUCUAUAUGAGAUUAUAGAUUAAUGCAGAAUUUGAAUCCUUCAAUAAUGCAUUACUGCUUGUUCUACAGAUUUAGGAACACAUCAACAGGUGGAAUGUAUAGGCCGGGUUCAGGGGGAUAUGGAGACAAAUAUGAUUAUGAUCGUUAUGGAAACAAGGAUUAUGAUGAUCAAAAUGGUUAUGGAAGAGACCGGGAAUAUGGCUAUAGAGAUGAUGAUCGGUAUGGCAGAUAUGGGGAUUCAAACAGUCGUGAUGGAGAUCGUUAUGGCAGAGAUUAUGAAGACCGCUACGGCAGAGAUGGUGACAGGGAUGAUGACUACCGAGGUAGAAGUAGAAGUGUUGAUGAUUAUCAAUAUGGCACAAGAUCUAGGAGCUCUGAUAGAGACCGUGCUUUUGAUGAGGAUGGUGCUUCUUCUCGGUAUGCACUUAUAUACUUUUGAAUUUUGAAACCUUUUUGUUGCUAUGUUCUUCUUGGAAACAUAUUAAUGUUGAUUUAAUUAUGUUAACCUGGUCUCAAUUUUUUGUUGAAGUAAUUAAUUUUCCCUUUCUUUAUGGGUAUCAUGAAAACCAUACAAAAUAGGUGUAUAUAUUAAUAGUUUGUGUUGCACUAGAGUAGGAUUCUUAAAUGGUGCAUUCACUUGGUAAUUUUCAAUGCAACAUUUCUAUCCAAAUGAGGUUUUGGUUUUCAUUUCACCAAGUCAUGGAAGAUUUUAUAGUUAUGAUCCUUCCUUGUCAAUUUCAAGCAUACUGCUCAUACUUUCGUGGUAGGCUUGAGACAGAAUGUAAUUAGCAUGACUAUCAUCUCUGCAGGGGCAGUGGUGAUAGAGCUGAUGAUCACUCUCAAGAUGGAAGGUAGCCAUGAGUGGAUGCAGUCAAAACUUGUAUUAGUUGAUAUAUAUAUUUUCUCAAAGGAGAUCACAGCCUAGGAAUAAAAGAAGAGAUUGCAAGUGCUGAGAUUCAAACUCUACACUUGUUGGAUGCCACCUCUUAUGGGUGUCUGCAUGAACCAACUAGGCUAACCUUUGAUUCUAGUUGAUCAAAUUUUUUAUUCGAUUGGUUUCUUGUUUCUGAAAUUUUCUGAAUAUAUAUAUUUUGUUCAGGCGGCAUGAGCGGAAACAAUCUGAACAAAAUAUUGGUGCUCCUCCUAGUUAUGAAGAAGCAGUAACUGAGACUCAGAGUCCUGUCCGUAGCGAAAGGUAUUGCUUUUCACCUUAAACUCUAGAGACAUCAGACAUGUUGCUUGGAACUGUGUUUUGGUUUGUUGCUGCAUUCUGAAAAGAUGUUUGAUAAUAGGGUUGGCCAAACUUCUGUAGCAGCUGCUCCUCCUCCUCCUCCUACCAAUAAUCCUAACCAAGCAGCCUCUGAUCUUAGUAACUCAGCUUCUCCUCCAAAUCAACAAGCAGAGGCUUUUGAUGAAUUUGAUCCCCGUGGUUCAUUUUCAGGUAUAAAAUUCUAUAUAAAUUCUAUGGUUUCUAUGUUCCAAUUGCAUUACCUGGAUGGUCAUUGUUUAUUGCUUUGAUGUGCUGGUCUUUUGACUUGAACUAUCAUCAUGCAAAGUGUAAUUUUCUGAGUUGUCUAAAUAUUAAGUUUGACAUGCUCUGUUGCUUCACAUUCCAUGCUAUUUUUAAAUUUUUUUUUUGUGGUAGUUUUUAGUGUAUUUUAUAUCUGCAAAAUGUAUAUUUCUUGCCAAAUUGCGGAUAUUACUUUCUGGGGAGGUAAGCCUUUUGCAGUUGGUUAUCUGGUAGUGACAGUUUUAGUGUUUUGAUGACUUCUUAUUCAAUUUUGUGCUAUGUUUUCUCAAUCCAUAUGAAAUUACUGGUUGGAGUUUCAUAUGAUUGCAUGGAACUUAGUUUGGAAUCUUUUGAUGCCAUUCCAUUUAUCCCUUGUAACUUGAACUUAUUAGUUCAUCUUUUGCUCAUCAAUUAUAGCUGCCCCAACUCCUGCUCCUGCUCCUGCUCCUGCUGCUGUUCCCACUGCCACAGCUGUCCCUGCUACUGCUGUUCCCACUGCUUCGACUAAUGCUGAAAUAGACUUGCUGGAUGCUCUUUCAGAUUCAUUUGCCAUUGUGCCAGUUACACCUGAAAUCCCUGCUACUGAGGUUGAUGCCCCUGCAAACUCUGGUGCUAUGCCCACCUUUGCUGCUAAUCAGCCGGCAUCUAAUUUUGGAAAUCAGGUAACAUGGUCCAUUUAAUAUUGAGGGAUCAUAUACAAGGAUUUCAUUAAACCUGUCUGCAAUAUGUCUAUUUAUGGUACAACGAAUUUGGAUAAGCUGUUCUGUUGUUGCCUAAUGUGUUUCAUUUUUUCUUUCAAAGUUGUAUAUUUGAAAAGCACCUAAAAAAAAUUGAUAGUUAAAAAUGAAUGAAUUAUUGAAAUCCUGUGUACAAUAGAAAGGGUAGCAUAAAGGUAUUAGGGUGAAUUUGUUGCCAUACUAAAAUUUUUAGGGGAUAUUGUUCCUGAUUCAGGGUUUUGAUGAUCCAUUUGGUGAUAAUCCUUUUAAAGCUGUCGCUUCAACUGACUCUGCCCCAGCUGUACGACAAAUUUCCACUUCCAUGCCUACUUUCCAGCCUGCUACAAACCAAAAUGAUGUAGCUCCUCAGCCACCUUCUGCAAGUUCCGAGACUGUCACAAAUUUUGACUUUGGGAACUCAUUCUCUGCAAAUGCUUACUCUGCACCCAAUAGCACAAACUCCCAGUUUCUUCCUCAAGAAAUGUCAACUCAAAAUCAGGGAAGUGCUUAUAGCCAAACAACACAGCCAGGUAUCUAUGGUCAACAGGCACAAUCAAGUGCUAAUAUGUACAGCCAACCGACACAGCCAAGUGCUAAUCCAUACGGCCAACCUGCACAGCCUGGUGCUAACGCAUAUGACCAAGUUGGACAACCUAGUUCUAAUGCAUAUACCCAAUCUGUGCAGCCGAGUGUUAACCUUUAUAGCCAACCGCCACAGCUGGGUGCUAAUCCCUACAGCCAACCUGCACAGUUUAACUCUGGGAACCUCUCACGGCAGGGUUCUCUUGUUCCAGUUUCUUCACAGGGUGCUCACCAGAUCACAAAUUCACCCGCUGUACAAAAUAAUAAUGAUUUCCUAAGUGGCUUAAUUUCAGAACCAGGGUCAAAGCCAGCACAGACAGUCACUCCCACAUCAACAGGAGCACUUGCUAUAGUUCCACAACCCUCAAAGGAUAAAUUUGAGCUUAAGUCGGCGGUUUGGGCUGAUACAUUAAGCAGAGGAUUGGUGAAUUUGAACAUAUCUGGACGUAAGUAAACAUUCUUCUUCUCUAAAAAUUGUCAUCAAGUAUGUCCUUUCUGCAUGAUCUAACUUUAUUGUUUUCGGUAUGCAGCUAAAACAAAUCCGUUGGCUGAUAUUGGAGUCGACUUCGAUGCUCUUAAUCGGAAGGAAAAAAGGAUGGAAAAACCUGCCCCAAAUGCAGUGACAUCUACAGUUACAAUGGGUAAAGCAAUGGGAUCUGGGUCUGGGAUUGGUCGUUCUGGUGCUACCACUCUUAGACCUCCCGCAAAUCCUAUGAUGGGUUCUAGUAUGGGUAGCAUGGGCAUGGGAAUGGGUGGUGGACCUGUUGGAGGCAUGGGAAUGGGAGGAGGCUAUGGUGGUAUGAAUCAACAACCAAUGGGCAUGGGGAUGGGGAUGGGGAUGAACAACAUGGGCAUGAAUCCAGGCAUGGGGAUGAAUAUGGGAAUGGGACAAAGACCCCAAAUGCAAGGAAUGCCUGGCGGUUAUAACCCUAUGAUGGGAUCUGGAGGCUAUUCUCAACAGCCAUACGGUGGUGGUUAUCGAUGAGAAUGGAUUCCCAUCCCAAAGAAGAGGAGUAAGGAAAUUACAUACAAGGCUGUGAUAUAAGGGUAAAAAUGAGAUGGGAAAAUAGCUAAAACAUUAGAUGUGGGGAAUGGAAUCCCAAAGUAGAAGCAGUAGAGUCGCACAUUUGUGUUGGCAGAUCGGAACCAUGUUUUUUAUUCAUAUAAUUGUCAUUCUUGGUUAAGCUAUUGCAGUGUUUGGGCCAUAAUCACUCCUCCCAUUGAUUACUGGUUUGAGCUGUUGUGAAAUUGUGUGGAUGAUGAUGACCUUUCUCGGCUUUGCAUUUUUUGUCUUAAUAUUCUUCCCUAUAAUAUAUAUAUUUUUUAUGGUAAAAAAAAUAAACUAAUCCUUCAAUUUUAUUUGAAACUGUAGUAAUUUCACUUUAUCUGUUACAGAAGCAGCAAUAGCUAGAUUGACGAAGCCUGUUGAAUUUUUUCUUUUCAAAAUUAUUUGCUAAGGUAUGAUGAAGCUUCAUUUCUGUAAUUAAGGUCCAAUAUCUUACUUUAUUAAUUUUUUUAAUCAAUUUCUGCAAUAAAAUUUUAAUAUGCAAUCCAUUAGAAAUAUGUUUGUGUUUUUUUGAAAGAGACAAGUCCCUGUUACUUGAAAUAUUCGUGUUCUUUAUCAAAUACAUAGAGCUGAAGCAUCCACAACAAAUACAUAAUCAAAUGCUAAACCUAAUUUGAAUGUGCAGCAAAAGAGAGAGAAUUUUAAAUAAAGUUGUAUUUUCAAGUAAAUUUAUAUAAAGAAACAAAGAAAAGCAUUCAAAAAAAAAAAUAAAAAAUCUAAAAUCAACCAUCAAACAUCACAAGUUUCAGCUUCACAUUAUUACAUGACUUCUAUUUAAAACUUAAAUGGUCAGAAAAAUUAAAGUACAAUGACAACAACUAACAUCCCAAGUAACAAGAUAAAGAUCAGAUCCUGUUUUUCAGUCUUAGAGUUUUCUUGUGUUGGAACUAAGAACAAAGAUGAAUGAAAAAUAACAGAAGCUUGAGCUUGAAGGCUCGAUGGCUUGCUGAGCAAACAAAACAGAAUCGGGCUUGAAAGACAAGAGAAAACAAGAAAAGAGAGUUUUUUAUGAUGAAUCUUUGAUGAAUUUUUCAUUAACUUGAAAGAUGGCAUAUUGCCAAUACAUAUACCAGACAAAAGCUGGUCAAGAUGAAACAAAGUUACCUAAACAUCUACCUAACUCCACUAAGUAGCAUUGUAACUUGUUAAACAAAACUUGCACACUUGGUAAAGCUGAUUUAUCAGCUCAAACAUCAACAAAUUACAUCAAGUACAUUAACAAAUUAGUUCUAAUCUAACUAAGUUACUAUCAUUUGAAAGUAACAAAAUGAACAGCAGCAUGAACUUCAGCUGCAACUGCUUGGCUCGGGCAACUUCUCUGCUUCUUGUCUGCAUGCAGGCCAGCUUCAACAGUUUCAUUUUUUCUUCUAAAGUUGUAUAUUUGAAAAGCGUCUAAAACAAAAUUGAUAGUUAAAAAGGAAUGAAUUAUUGAAAUCCUGUGUACAAUAGAAAGGGUAGCAUAAAGGUAUUAGGGUGAAUUUGUUGCCAUACUAAAAUUUUUAGGGGAUAUUGUUCCUGAUUCAGGAUUUUGAUGAUCCAUUUGGUGAUAAUCCUUUUAAAGCUGUCCCUUCAACUGACUCUGCUCCAGCUGUACAACAAAUUUCCACUUCCAUGCCUACUUUCCAGCCUGCUACAAACCAAAAUGAAGUAGCUCCUCAGCCACCUUCUGCAAGUUCCAAGACAGUCACAAAUUUUGACUUUGGGAACUCAUUCUCUGCAAAUGCUUAUUCUGCACCCAAUGGCGCAAACUCCCAGUUUCUUCCUCAAGAAAUGUCAACUCAAAAUCGGGGAACUGCUUAUAGCCAAACAACACAGCCAGGUAUCUAUGGUCAACAGGCACAAUCAAGUGCUAAUAUGUACAGCCAACCGACACAGCCAAGUGCUAAUCCAUAUGGCCAACCUGCACAGCCUGGUGCUAACGCAUAUGACCAAGUUGGACAACCUAGUUCUAAUGCAUAUAGCCAAUCUGUGCAGCCGAGUGUUAAUCCUUAUAGCCAACCGCCACAGGCAGGUGCUAAUCCCUACAGCCAACCUGCACGGUUUAACUCUGGGAACCUAUCACGGCAGGGUUCUCUUGUUCCAGUUUCUUCACAGGGUGCUCACCAGAUCACAAAUUCACCCGCUGUACAAAAUAAUAAUGAUUUCCUAAGUGGCUUAAUUUCAGAACCAGGGUCAAAGCCAGCACAGACGGUCACUCCCACAUCAAUGGGAGCACUUGCUAUAGUUCCACAACCCUCAAAGGAUAAAUUCGAGCUUAAGUCGGCGGUUUGGGCUGAUACAUUAGGCAGAGGAUUGGUGAAUUUGAACAUAUCUGGACGUAAGUAAACAUUCUUCUUCUCUAAAAAUUGUCAUUAAGUAUGUCCUUUCUGCAUGAUCUAACUUUAUUGUUUUCGGUAUGCAGCUAAAACAAAUCCGUUGGCUGAUAUUGGAGUCGACUUUGAUGCUCUAAAUCGUACUAUAUCUUUAUAAAUUUAAAAAAAUUAAAUCAAUUUUUUCUAAUUUUUUAGGGAAUAAAAUACAAUUUUAUCAUAUAUUAGUUUAAGGAAUUAUUUUAAGGAAAUUGAUCGGUUUAGAAUGUGUUACAAUGGUUAGUUUAAGGAAAUUACGCUGAUUAAUUCCCUUUUUUAUUUCUGAAAGUCCACUUAAUUUCUUUUUUUAGUAAGGGCCAUUAAUAUUUUUGCUAUAUUUUAAUUGAUAUUAUUAGCAACAAUUAUGUAGUGGAUAAUAGCUUUUUAGACGUACGACUCAUCCACUUUUUAUUUGUGAAGGGUUGGCAAGUAAAUUUCGAUAUAUUCUAAGGGAAUAAAAUAAGAUUACGAAUUAUAUGACAAAAAUAGCUACUGGAGAUUUAAAUACGAUUUACACUUUUAAAGAGCCUCCAACGAGUGUUCCAAUAUUAUUGUUGGUUGAUCUUCAAGAACUCGUAAUCAUGAGACUUUCUCAUUAGAGUUACGUUGAAAAGUUGAUUUCUGCUAUUUUUUUACCAAAAGAAAAAUAUUUUUGGUACCCAUAUAGAUAAACUAGGUGUUAAAAAGACUGGUAUCAUUUAAGAUGUUGAAGCCACCCGUUUUUUUAAGGUGAAAGGUUUUAUAACGUUAAGGAUUGAAAUGGGCCUAAAAAAAUAUUUAAAGACCAAAAUGAGAAAAACGAUAUAAUUUAAGGACAAAAAAUUAAUUUUUUUUACUUCCCCCCUUUUUUUGUAAUUACAACCUUAAAAAUUCCAUUUUUAGAAAAACAAACCUACAUGCUCUUUCGUUUCUAAUUGAAAUAAUUAAUUUUUAACUUUUUAAACUAACUAAUAACAUUGUAAAAAUAUACGAUCAAAUUAUGUUAAAAAGUAAAGUUUUUAAACUAAAAAUGAGAAAUAAGCAUAGUAGAGGGACUAAACCCUAUAUUUGACCCCUUUUUAUAAUGUAAAUUAGGAGAUUAGGUAGCAAGUGUCUAUGACCUCUCAAGUUCCAGAAUGGGCUGCAUAGAGCAGCAAUAGGAGCUUCAACUCUCUAACAGGUUCUGAUGCUUCUAUUAAAACAUGGUUUAAAGAACACAGAAAUCAGGAAAUUAGAGUUAAAAUAAUCAAAUGUUCACACAAAUGCCAACUUAAAACAUGCUACCCUUACAUUUCAACUUCAAAUACGAAACCCUAGUUUGGAUAAUAAUUACAAUCAGCAUUACAUGUAAUAAAAUACUGUGUUCUCCGCCAAAGAAAAGUGGUAGUUUUGGAGUAUAGUCACCACAACGCUACCUUAGUCCUCCCAAUCUGAAGAACUGAAAUUGUUAUCGUGGACACCUAAAAUGGACAAUGAAGUUACAUCCAGUAUAUUCCAAAGCCAAAUCUAAACAGGGUUCACCACACUCACUCCAGUUCGGAUAGUAAUAAAUCUUCUUAACAACAGUGGCAGAAUGCUAAUGAAUGUCCUCACAGACUUUAAUGAUACUCCCGAGUUUGAGAAAUGCAUAUUUACCAACGACACAACUGACAUGAGCAGAAGUAUCACAUGUUGCACAAUGAUAAAACCAAAGGUUUGGGUCUCGACUUUCUUCACAAACAUCACAAAAAUGACUUUCUGAAUAAUUGUUAUCAUCAUGAUAAGUGACUGAAAGAAGAUGUUUAUCAUUUUUGGGUUGGGAUGUAAUAGGCAACGAAAAACACCUAUGAUGUAAAGAAAAAUCACAAUCCUUACAACGUGUCAAACACUAUACUAUUGCAUAAGAACAGAGAACAAAUUGAAAAAGAUGAAUUUACUAAGAGAAUUGUUUAGUAUUCUUUAUCUACUUGAAUCAAUACACUGCUAGUGUUUAUAUAUUUGUUUUCUUGAGUAACUGCUGCUAACCAACUAUAUACUAGACUAAGUAACAGAAUGAUCUAAUAGACUAACAACCUCUAUACUUUAACAUUCACCCAGCUUCUAAAUAGGUAAAAUCCGAAGUAAACUUCGAAAUCGAGCAAAAAUAGAGACAGACAAUGAUUUUGUGAGAAUAUAAUAGUUAACUCAAACUAAAAUGUAACUUGAGACAAACAAAAAUAAGUUAACCCAACUCGCCAUGACCUCCUCUCAAGCUCGACUUCAAAUUUUUUAAGCUUUGGUUAGUGGGGUUAAAUUUCACCCUCCAAUGUCCCUUGAAUUGAUACAACAACAAAUUCUGAUAAAUUGCACCACAAGGCAUCCUAUGAUUGGUCCAUAUAUCAAGUAAUGUCAAAUUUUGAUAGAAGUAUCACAUUGAUUGACAAAAUUAAAGUUCAAGUAUUAAAUUUGAUAUUUUGAAAGUAGAAUCACCAUUAGAAGAUUCGAUAAAUUACAAGAAGCAUUUUAGUCAUUUUCCCAUAUGUAAUAUGAUUUAUCUAAACAUGUACUGUCUAAUUCAAGUAAUAUAAUGCACUUUUUUUGCAGUGUUUGGUUUUUCAUACUUGUAUCCUAUCAUUGUGAGUAUGUAUAUAUAUUUGGUAGGUCCCUUUAUUAUAGGAAUCGGAUCAAAUUAAUAUCUCUACUAUUACAUCGGUUAAUUUAGUCCCUAUAUUAUUACAAAGAAUUAAAUAAGAUCAAUUUUCAAAAGAGUUAAUAUUUACUAUUUAAAAAAUGUUUUUUUUUAUGAUUUUGUAGAUAAAAUGUUUUAUUUGGAGUUGAUUUGCAGAUGAAAAAAUAAUUUCUAUGAUAAUUUUCGAAUAGUAAAUAUUAACUCUUUUCCACUUUAGUCUUAUUGGGUGCAUUCCACUUUCUAACGAUUUUUGUAAUUAACUUCGGUAAUUUUUCUUGGUCUCUUAUGGCAUUUGUAAUUAAUUGCAUUAAGCUCAGAUCUCUUAUUCCUUCUAACAAUUUUUGUAAUAAAAUUAUAAGAUGUUAAAUCAUAUGAUAAGAUUGUUAUGCACAAAUAUGACUAGAAGACUUCUUUUGUGUGUUUUCUAUUUUGAAGGAGAUAUGUACUUGUUGAAACACACCAACCUGAAACAUUCUUGUCCUUUAAUGAAAUAAAAGAUGAAGCAAUGUAGUGCAAUUAGAAUACAUAGAGCUGAAGCAUCCACAACAAUUACAUAAUUAAAUACUAAAUGUAAUUUAAAUGUGAAUCUAAGAAUGAGAGAAAAAUGAUCUAAAAAAAAUUGAGUUUUUAAAUGAACUUAUAUAAAGAAACAAACAGCUGUUGGGAGAAUAUAAAGCAUCAAGCAAAGUCUUCAUGUAUGUAUAAUGGUCACUGGGCUAAAUCUUUUGUCUCUUAAUCUGUGCGGCCUUAGACGAUCCGUUCGCUCCAAACUCUCCUAAGCCAACCUUUACUCCCAAAAGUGAGGAUUCCUUUAGAAUUCCUCUAAAGUACCAAUUUGUAUAGCGGAAGCAAUUGUGCCAAAAGAAACUACAAAAGAACAAUAGAAAGCCACAGAAAGAAUGUACACAAAAUGUUUGAAUAAAUGCUCAAAGAAUUCUAUUACUUUUAAGAAUUCAACUUACAAAUGGAUUACCUACAAAUGAGGGAAGGCUCUCUAUUUAUAGUUGAGCUCUCCCAAAACCGACGGCCAAGAUCAAAUUACAUCGACGGAUGAGAUUAGCCUAUUCCUUAAUUUUAAGGAUUUAAAAGAUUACAUCAUAUCAAAUUAAAUCUACAUGAUAUGAUUCCCAUAUUUACUAAAAAUAGCUUAUGUUGCCACAUCUUCAUUAACGGACCAAUCAGACUUCAAUCUGACAGGCUUCUCCAACAAUUCUUGGAAUCGAGCUAGUUCUCGUGACAGACUUCAAUCUAACAAGCUUUACACUUUGGGCCGCGACAGAAUCACAUUCUCCAAUUACAAUAAAUUCUAAAUUCAACAAUCAAACAUCAAUGCAAACUUCACUAGUGUUGGCUCCAGAUUAUUACAUGAAAUUUAUUUAAAACUUAAAAGUAGGAAAAACCAAAUUACAUUGACGACAACAACUAACAUCACAAGUAACAAAGCGAAGAUCAAACUCUUUUUUUCAGUCUUAAGAGUUUUCCUACAAAUGAUUAGAUCUAAAUUGCUACAUAGGCCAGUCCCACCAACGGUGUAGAUAACGAGGUGCUACACAAUUCCAGUGGACAAUAUACUUGCACUCUGACUUUAAGCAUUCAAGAGCCAGAUCUUCACAAGGCUUACGACAUUUAUCACAAUUUGGGUAGUAAUACAUCUUCUUCGCAAUGGUGAGUGGAUGUGGAUGAUAUCUUACAUUUUCAAUGGUCUGGAAUUUGACAAAUGGAUAUUUUCCAAGAACACAAUUAACAUGAGCAGAAGUAUCGCAUUUUGCACAAUGAUAAAACCAACAGUUUGGAUCUCGACUUUCUUCACAGAUAUCGCAAUAAUGAUGUUCUAAAUAAUUGUUAUCAUCAUAAUCUGUGAGUGAAAGAAUAUGCUCAUCUCAUUUGUGAAGAACUGUAAUUGGAAGUGAAAAGCAUCCAAUAUGUAGCACAAAAUUGCAAACCUUACAACGAAAUGCUGCCCUUGUAGUAUAACCACAAGCAUUGCACUUCCCAUUGUAGUCUCUGUAGUAAAAGAGGGGGUGUUCAUGUUUCAAACAUAUUUGAGCACCAGGAGUAAGAGCAAGCACACAUUGGAGGCAUUUUUUUGCUUUACAUCCACAACAUUCAUAAGCAAAGGCAUUACACACAUUCAGACAUUCUCGACACCUAAAAACCCUGUCCGAAAUAAGGGCAAGAGGUUUUUGGCACAAAUGAUGCCCAACAUCCUUCAUCUUAGGUAAUUCAGCACACGCUUUAUGAAGGAAGAAAUCACAAAAUGAACAAGAGUAAAAUGGUCCCGAGAUUGGCAACAAACAUCCGUCACAACCAUUCUCAUUCUUUCCAACAACGGGACUUAACAUUAGAUUAUGUAUAUGCAAGAAAUGUUCUAUUUUUGUAGCUUCUCCAGCAUCGUUGCUCUCUAAAACAGUGAUGGAACUUUCAUAGGGCAUCUCAUCUUCAUCUUCUGGUGAAACUAUUGAAUAUGAGCGUUCAUCCUCUGUCACACAAUGCACAUGGAAUAUAGCAUUGCACUUUGAACAAUAGUAACUACCAUACUCUGUAUUGACUUCAUCAUGGCAUAUCAUGCAAUUCAAAACUCCAAAAUCUUCUAUGUGAUGGAAAUAUGUGUGAAGAAGGCGAUGGUCAUGCCACUUACUUUUGAUAAUGCGAGGCCAUGAAAUGCAAUUUUUAUGGAUUAUAAUGUUACACGUACCACAUCUAUGGGCAACAUGAUUUCCUUCGGUAUCACAAGUGAAUGGAACUUGUCUAAAAACCAAGGUAAAUGGAUGUUCAUGAUUUGUACUCUUAAUAACUUGUAAUGGUGAUUGUGAUGCGCAUUCAAUGUGAACAACCAACUUACAAGGAGAGCAACCAUAAACAAAUCCUACAGCCUUCCGAUUGGUUUCUCCGCAUAUCUUGCAAGAGAGCCGUUCGCUAUUAAAUUGUAGAGCAAGAGGAUGCUUGCGAUGACACACAUGAUUCAGUUUGAAAGGAAGCUUAGCGCAUUUCUCAUGUAAAUUAAAUCCACAGGCAGGAGAGAAGUGUGUAUACUUUGCUAAUGGUUCCCAGCAUCCAAAGCACUCUCUAACAUCUUCAAGUUCUUCAUCACCAUUUUCAUCUUCAAGUUCUUCAUGACCAUUUUCAGUGGAAAUCAAAGGAUGUUGAAGGGCAACAUGCUCAAGCUCUUUCAAAUUAUUCUCAGCAAUAUUAAAUGUAAACAAAGCACAUUUAAUAUGAAAGUCAAAAUGGCAAGAGCAGUGAUAAACAAACUCAUUUCCGCCUUUAUCGCAAAAAUUGCAAAUGUACCGUCUAGAUGAAUAAGGUGCAUUUUGCAUAAGAAGAAGAGGAUGAUGAGGAUGAAAAGGAUGAUUAAGCUCCAAAGGUGCCUCGGCACAUACCUUGUGAAGAUAAAACCCGCAGUGCUCCGCACAGCAAAAACAUGGAGCAGACACCUUCUCCCCACACCUGGAGCAAUCAGUUACACCACUUUGAUUAUGGAUCAGCUGGUCUUGAUUCAACAUAAGAAGCAGGGGAUGUUGGUGGCCGUAAUUGUUAGACUCCUCCAUUUCUCCUUCCCCAAGCAAUAUAAAUAAAGGAAAAUCUUGACUCUGGGAGCAAAGUUUGAAUGGGAAAACAAGAUUACAAGCGAAGAAAGAUAAUGAUUGAGGAAGUGGGAGAGCAUUUGAUAUUUAGAGGCAGAGGUCAACUCAAUUAGCUAGUGAAUGCUUUUAUUCAAGAUUACACAUGCUGUUCAUGGUGGGUUGAUUUGAUAUUCAUGAGAUUUAUUGAAAUCAAUUUUGUUUACAGUUUCAGCCUUCAAUUAUUGUAGCGAACCACAACAAGAACUUUAAACAACUCUACCCAACUUUCAUCUAACACAUACAAGAGCAAUUAAUGAGUUGUCGGGAUAAGUUUGGCUAUCUUUUUACACAAGAUAGGCAGUGGAAUAUUAGGGGGUUAGCAGGACUCGCACUCUUUAAAAUGAAAAGUUGUUCAUUUUCUUAAAAUUUUAAAUUAAUAAUAAUAAAAUUAUAUUUUUAUUUUUCUUAAAACCAAUAAAAUUUUAAUUUAAUUUUUUAAAAACUAUAAAAAUAAUAAUUAAAAAUUUAAAUUUAAAUUUACCCCUUUAAAAUUUUUUUCUUCUUUAAGUAAAAGCUAGAUACUAAUAAUCAUUUUCUUUUUUUACAUUGUUCUAAACUUCACUUUUUUGAUUAAAUGGGAGGCUAAUAAAAUCACUUUAAAUCUCUCUAUCUGAGAUUUUUUUUUUCUGUAUGGAUUGUUUUUGUCAAAAAUAUUAAACCGGAAAAUUGUUGGGAGUCAUGUUUUAUAUCUAAAGUAAUAAAUACUUCAUGAUUUAUUGUCGUGCAUAUCUUAAAAAUAUAUAUAAUAAUUAAAUGCAAAACAAAGCUAAAAAAAGUUUUCUAUCGCAUUAAAAAAUAUUUAUAUUAAAAAAUUACUAUCAUAAAUAUAAUAGAGUUAAUUAUUACUGGAUUGGUGAUUUAAUAUAAAUAUAAAUAUAAUUAUUUAAUAUAUAUAAUUAAUAUAAUUUUUUUAGGAUUAAAUCUCAAAUUAUAUUUGAACUUUGAUUUAAUGUGUAAUUGUGUAUAUGAACUUUAAUUUGGUGUAAUUAUACACAUGAAACUCUAAUUGUGGUUCAAAUGUAUUCUUCUAACUUUAAUUUUUGGUUUAAUCAUGCACAUUUAAAGAAAUAAAUAAAUCAAUUAAUUUCUAUAUUAGAUAAAUAUAAUUAUUUAUGUAUGCAAUGUAAUGACCUGAAAGCCAUGGGUAUCGGAAAGUGUAUUUUCGGGUCUCCGUUUUCGGAAAACGGAUCCGUAAAUAUUUAAUAAAAAUAUUUACGAAGUUAGUUGUGUGGUUAAUUAGAUUUUGAUUAGCUGAAUUUGCUUAAUUUAAGAGUAAUUAGGUGUAAGGACGGUAUAGGAAGAAAGUUAAAUUAUAGAUUAGAGAAAAGUGAAGGGACUAAAUAAGCAAUUAAACCUCAAAUUAACAAGUGUGUGGUAUUGGUAAUGACAUGUGUAACAUUUAAAUACAAACAUUUAUAAUAAUUAUUACUUUCUUAUUAUUUAAGUAAAUAUUAUUAUAUUAUUAUAUUAUUAUAUUGUAUUGUUAUAAUAAUUAAAACAUAAAAUAAAUGAAAUAAAAAGAAUAGAAAGAAAAGAACAAAGUAGAACGAAAUAGAGAAGAAAAAGAGAGAAAGAAAAAUGAGAAGAAAAAAUUAGGGUUUUCAAGGGUUUAAAGCUUAAUUGGUAAGUCAAUUUAGUCUAUUUUCUUGUAAUUUUUAUGUUUUUAGAAUCCUAGUAUUAAAUGCUACUUAACCUAUGUUGAAAUUUAAGAAAAUAUUGAAUUUUUAGAUGUUGUUCAUGUUGAAUAAUUUAAGUAUUUGUGAUUAAAUUGAUAACAUUUUAAGUUAGAAAUGAAAAAAGGAUUGAAUUGUAAAAUAAAUUAUAAGUGUUGAGUAUUAGGGACUAAAUUGUAAAAAUUUAAAAUUUAGGGAUUUGAGUGAAAUUAGAGAGUUGAAUUUAGUCUAACGCGGAAAUUGAAUGAAAAUAUGGAAUUGGUUUUGAAGAAAUAAAGUUAGUCUCGGUUUAGGGACUAAAUUGGAAUUUAUGCAAAAAUUUGAAUAAAAAUUGAAAUAUUCAAUGUGAAAAUUGUAUUGUAUUGAUGAAUUUUAAUUGUUUUAACUUUCGUAGCUAACGCUGUACCGGAAACUUUGACUAAAAAAAGGAAAAGAUAAAGUCGAUGAGGAGUAGCUCGGAAAUUCUAACUUGUAUUUCUAUAAUUUGAUUAAUUAUUACUUGUUGUAUUUUGAUUUAAAUGUUUAUGGUAAGUAAAUAAGGUAAGUGUUAGCAUUUUUUAUAUUGAAUUGAAUGUAUGUGAAAUUGUGAUUUAUGUGAUAAUUGAGUAUUAGAUAAUUGUGGCAUUAGAAAAGUGAAUUGAAACCCAAUUAACUGUAUCGGGCUAAGUCGGAUAUAAAUGGCAUGCCAUAAGAUUGAAAGAGUUUAGGGAUAGUUUGACUUUGAGUCGAUGAGACACUGGGUGUCAAAUUAUUACUUCGGAUAAAUUCGAUGAGGUACUGGGUACUAAUUUACUUCGGCAUGGCCAACGAGACACUGGGUGUCAACUUAUUGUUUUGAAUUAUCCGAUGAGGCACUGGGUGCCAAACUGGUGUGUUUUGGUUGGAUUCAUGUAUCCGUCCCAGUCUGUUUCAGGUUAAUUGGGGUUAUUGAAUAAAAUAGUGUUAUGAUUGAUAUUGAGUGGUGAUUUGAAAUAUGGUUAAAGACACAUGAUUUGUAUUUAUGAAUUGAAUAUGAAUGAACAAUAUUGUUGCUCAAAUGAUUUGUGUUCAUAUUGUGAAAAGCUAUCUCGGGUGGCAAAUGAUAAAAAUUGAAUGUGUUAUAAAUACCUUAUUUAUGAAAUGAAUAAUUGUAUGACUAUAGUUAUUGUAUGUUAUAUUAUUUUACUUUUAAGCAUUCGGAUUAUAGAAAUACCGCUGAGUUUAAACUCAGUGUAUGGUUUGUUUUCAGUGCGCAGGUUAGGUUAAAGUCAGAUUACCUAUUCAGCAUCCAUCAAUGACCCCGAAAUUAAAACGUGGUGAUGUAUAUUUCUUUUUGUGUCGGCAUGUACCUAGGAUGUCUUAUGCUUGUCAUUUUGGGAAGUGAAUGUAAGUGAUGUUAUAAGAUGAUAUUGGUUACUUAUAUACAUGAUUAUACGUGUUAAGUUGAGGUUUAAUAUGGAAUGUUUAAGUUGAUGCAUAAGUAAUAAGAGUGAUAUAGGCAAAUUUGGGUUGAAAUUGUUAUGAAUUUAGAAUUGGCUUAAAUGGUGUUUUAUUUGAUUGUUUUGAUAAUAUAUGUGAAGUACCUAUGAGGGUACAUUGGUUAGGAAACUAGGAUGACUGUUUUGACAUGUUUUAAAAGUAUUAAAUUGUGUUUUAAAGUGAUUGAACGAUUGGUUUUUGAGUUGCUUGGUGUUCAAGGUUGCAAGGAAAGGUAAAUUUGAUGUUUAAGGUUCAUUUUGAGUCCAUACGGCCAGGCAUAUGGGCAUGUGACUGGACCUUGUGAGACAUGUGUCUAACACAUGGGUGUGUGUCCCCUACACGUAGGAAAAUUUUUGAAAUUUUGCGAAAAAUUUCUGAAGUACCCAAUUUAGUCCCGAUUUGUUUCCAACACAUAUUUUGGGCCUCGAGGCUCAUAAAAGGGAUAAUAUGAUGUAAUUAUGAUGUGUAGGCUAGAUGAUUAUAUAAUGUUCAUAUUUGAUCUAAAAAGUCCGCUAAUGCUCCGUAACCCUGUUUCGACAACGAAUAUGGGUUAGGGGGUGUUACAGUGCAAUAUAUAAACAUAAAAUGAUCUUAUAUAAAUAAUUAUGUUAAUAAUAUAUAAGAAUUAGAUCAAAUCAAAAUUUCAUAUAUAAAAUUGCAUAAAACCAAAAGUUUAUGUAUGCAAUUGCAUAUUAAAUUAUAGUUAAUAUACAGUUUUGAAAUUUAUCCUUAUUUUUUAUAACAUAAUAUAUUUAAGGCAGGCUAGACUUGAGUCAAAAAUUAUUGUUAAAGAUUUAGCCUAUAUAGAAAACAGUCCUACAUUUAAACAAAAUAACACAGAAAUUAGGAAAUUAUAGUUUGAAUAAUCAAAAGGCAAUCAAUAAAUACGAAAGCUAGUUUGGAUAAAAAAAAACAAUCAGCAUUACAAGUAAUAAAGUCAGGACCACACUCUGGGUUCGCCGUAAAAGAAAAUUGGUAGUUUUGGACUAUAGUCACCUAAACUUCACCUUAGUCCUCCGAAUUUUAAGGACAUUUACCAUGGAUAAUGAAGUUGCAUGCAGUACAUUCAAGAGCCAAAUCUAAACACGGCUCACCACACUUACUGCAGUUCGGAUAGUAAUAAAUCUCCUUAACAAAAGUGAGAGGGUGCUCAUGAACGUCUUCUAUUACUUCAACAGUACUCCCAAGUUUGAUGAAUGGAUAGUCACCAAGAACACAACUGAUAUGAGCAGAAGUAUCACAUGUUGAGCAAUGGUAAAAUCAAAGAUUUGGUGGCAAUUCCAAUUAUGGGUUUCAGACAAAAGCUAUAGAGAUUCCUUUAUCAAAAUAACAAACUUUCCAAAGCAUUUACUUCACAAGGCAUGCAUGCAUACAUUUAAAGAAAAUAACACACAAAUUAGAAUACUAUAGUCUGAAUAAUCAAAAGGCAAUCAUUUUCCAACUCAAAACAUGCUUCCCUUACAAUACGAAACCCUAGUCUGCAUAAUAAUUACAGUCAGCAUUACAUGUAAUAAUGUCAGGACUCAAGAAAUUUACCAUGGAUAAUCGAAACAGGACUCACCACACUUACCGCAGUUCGGAUGGUAAUAAAUCUUCACAUUUAUAGGCAAAAGCAUUAGACAACCAAAGACGUUGUACACACUCAAAAACAUCAUUUGAAGUAAGGUCUAAUGCUGGUCCGCAACAACGAUGCCAAACAUGCUUUACUUAUGGUAACUCGGCGCAAACUUUAUGGAGAAAGAAACCACACUAUGUACAAUAGUAAAAUGAAGCCACGAUCGGUAACAACCACCCAUCACAACAUUUAUCACAACAUUUAUCAUCAUACUCGCCUACGCUGUCACUUAAUAUUAAGUAAUGAAUAUGCUUGAAAUGUUCUAUUACUGUGGCUUCUCAAGCAUCAUUCCUUUCAAGAACCUUGGUUAUGGAGCUGACAGACUCAUCAGGAGAUUCCUCAUCUUCAUUUUCUACUAUUGCAUAUGAAUCUUUAUACUUCAUUACACACUCCAUGUGAAAUAUAACAGGGCACUUUGAACAAUAGUAACUACUAUGCUCUGUAUUGACUUCAUCAUGGCAUAUUAUGCAAUCCAAAACUCUAAAAUCUUCUAUGCGAAGGAAAUAUUGGAGAAAAAGGCGAUGGUCAUGCCACUUGCUUCUGAUGAUGCGUGGCAAUGAAGCGCACUUUUUAUGGAUAAUGAAGUUGCACGCAGUACAUUCAAAAGCCAAAUCGAAACAGGGCUUACCACACUUACCGCAGUUCGGAUAGUAAUAAAUCUUCUUAACAACAGUGAGAGGGUGCUCAUGAACAUCCUCACGUAGUUUAAAGAUACUCCCAAGUUUGAGGAAUGUAUAUUCACUAAGGACACAAUUGAUAUGAGCAGAAAUAUCACAUGUUGCACAAUUGUAAAACCAAAGAUUUGGAUCUCGACUUUCUUCACAUACAUCACAAAAAUGGCUUUCUGAAUAACUGUUAUCAUCACCAUAAGUGAGUGAAAGAAGAUGUUGAUCAUUUUUGUAUUGGAAUGUAAUAGGCAAUGAAAAGCAUUUAUGAUCCAAAGAGAAAUCGCAAUCCUUACAACGGAACAACCCUUUGAUACCAUCUUUACCACAAGCAACACAUCGCCCUAUAUAUUUGGAGUAGAAAAGAAGAGGGUGUUUAUGUCCUAGACAUGUGCGAGCACCAGGUGUAAGAGCAAUUAUACAUCGAAAGCAUCUACGUGUCUCACAUUCUUCACAUUUAUAGGAAAAAGCAUUAGACAACCAAAGACAUUGUACACACUCAAAUACUUCAUUUGAAAUAAGGACUAAUGGUGGUCGGCAACGAUGAUGCCAAACAUGCUUUACCUUUGGUAACUCAACACAAACUUUAUGGAGAAAGAAAUCACACUGUGUACAGUAGUAAAAUGAAGCCACGAUCGGUAACAAGCACCCACCACAACAUUUAUCAUCAUACUCGCCUACUCUGUCACUUAAUAUUAAGUAAUGAUUAUGCUUGAAAUGUUCUAUUACUGUGGCUUCUCCAGCAUCAUUCCUUUCAAGAACCUUGGUUAUGGAGCUGACAGACUCAUCAGUUGAUUCCUCAUCUUCAUUUUCUACUAUUUCAUAUGAAUCAUUAUCCUUCAUCACACACUUCACGUGAAAUAUAACAGUGCACUUUGAACAAUAGUAACUACCAUGCUCUGUAUUGACUUCAUCAUGGCAUAUUAUGUAAUCCAAAACUCUAAAAUCUUUUAUGCGAAGGAAAUAUUUGUGAAAAAGGCGAUGAUCAUGCCACUUGCUUUUGGUGAUGCGUGGCAACGAAGUGCACUUUUUAUGGACCAUAAUGUUACAUGUACAACAUAUGUAGGAAGCGUAACUUCCUUCAGUACCACAUGCAUCACAAAUGAAUGAUGAUCCUCUUAGCAACAAAGUGAAAGGAUGUCUAUGCCUUUUAUCUUCAACAAUAAGAUCUAAAGAUUCUGAUACACAUUCAAUGUGAACAACAAACUUACACGGAGAACAACCAUAAACAAAUCCUCUUCGCCUUGUUACUUGGCAUAUCUGUUGAAAGCUGGACUGCAAUGCAACAUGGAGCCAAAAGCUUGCCACUGUCGAGACCAGCAGCUAUCGAGCUCAACUCAUUUUGCUUGGUGCGCACGAAUGGUUUUUGAACCAAAUGAAGCAACCAACUUUGCUGCUUUGUUUUGAUGUAAUUUGGUUCAGUUCAACUUUAGUUUGUUUGUAAUGCUAGUUAAACUUAAGUUAGUGACAAGAUCUUUUGAUGUAAUGGCUGAUUGGUCAGCUAUAUUUGAUUAUUUUUGGCUAGUGAUUAGGUUUGUAUUAGUUGGGGCAGUUAAAUACAUUAGGUAACUGUCAAUGUACAUUGUAACUCUUUUAUAUAUUUCAAGUUUGAAUGAAAAAUGAUGUAUGUUCAGUCACAACAUUACUGAGUAUUUAAUUUUGAUCAAAUUUUGCUUUGCUUUGUCUCGAUUCUUCUUGCUUCAGUCUUGCAAACACUAAGUUGCAACUUUGUUUUGAUGUUUGCUGCUGCCAUUGUUCCAACAAAUGGUAUCAUGAGCCCGAGUCUUUGAGGGGCCUUUGUAUGCAAUCUGUUGUGUUCGAAUCAAAACCAACAGCAAGUUCAAAAUUUGGUAAGAUUGAAGCAUUUAAAAUCAGUUUAGCAGAAUGAGUUUCACUCCACCACCUCCACCAGU